AAUAAACGCUGGCGGCAUGCCUAACACAUGCAAGUCGUACGAGAAAGUUCCCUUCGGGGAGCGAGUAAAGUGGCGGACGGGUGAGUAACACGUAAGAACCUACCCUUUGGCUUGGGAUAACAUCGCGAAAGUGGUGCUAAUACCGGAUAAAGUCUAAGGACCAAAGAGGGCGAAAGCUCUCACCAGAGGAGGGGCUUGCGGCCCAUUAGCUAGUUGGUGAGGUAAUGGCCCACCAAGGCGACGAUCGGUAGCUGGUCUGAGAGGAUGAUCAGCCACACUGGAACUGAGACACGGUCCAGACACCUACGGGUGGCAG
This 316-nucleotide ribosomal RNA is filed under the name uncultured bacterium. RNAcentral describes it as "bacterial SSU rRNA". It matches the Rfam family "Bacterial small subunit ribosomal RNA", at positions 29 to 351 of the family's 1533-position model. The record is from RNAcentral.